Syzygium oleosum is the source of this 2147-nucleotide RNA transcript. RefSeq lists it as uncharacterized. The transcript is spliced from 13 exons. Lineage: Eukaryota; Viridiplantae; Streptophyta; Magnoliopsida; Myrtales; Myrtaceae. The record is from RefSeq and is a predicted model, not a curated record.
CUAGUUUUUUUUAAAUUUUUUCGAUUAUAACCUUAAGACGAGACUCGAGAGAGAGAAAGGAGAAGAUGGCGGAAUUUCACGCAAAGAUGUGGAUGCAUUCGGGGAGUGUUGCAGAAUUAGCUGAAUGAUUUGAAGAUUUCCUCCGUUGGAGGUAGGUUCGCAAUCUCCUCCUUGAAGUUGAAGGAUUCUGGAUUCUUCUCCGGUCAGAGACGAGAGCUCGCUCUCCCUCUCUCCCUCUCUCUCUCUCUCCGUAGAUUACCGGAUCAUCCGCGUUGUUCGUCCGGAUUCCGUCGGGAUUUCCCACGUCGAACGUGUUACGUGCGCUGUGAUCGUCGGAGGAACUGCAGCAUGGUCACGUAACACAUGCCGAUCACGUCUCUGUUCAUGGACACGAUUUAAGCCGAUUUCGGCACGUAUAACUAGCUCUGUGUUGCAAUUCCUGCGUAUUUGCAGGACAUUGCUUUAGGAUUGCUUGGCUUUUCAUCUGCACGCCAAAGAUGUUGCAGUGGAUGGGAGGAUCGAGACGGAAGAUAACGACUGUAAGUGUCGUCCAGGAAGUCAACUCAGAAGAGGUAAAGAACAUCUAUCUACUUGCGCUCUUUUUCCCUCGAACUGAUGCAGCCAGAACUUUGCUACCAAAAGCAUCUGGCAAGCAUUUAUCACGCAAGAGCAACGACCCAUUCUUUCUAAAAUCUUUCUAUUCAUGGAGGCAAAAGCAAUAUUUUGAGCAAAAGAAGAGGCAACAGCAGCAAAAAAAUUUUGGUUCGGACAGCUAUGCUGAGGAAACAAAUGUGGACUGCCAGCAGCAGAAAGAAAAUCGAUCAUUAGAUAUUCUCAGUUUGUUGAAUCUUUCGACUGCCCCACAAGUGUACAAAAGUAGCUGCCCUGAUGGAAGCAGUAUUCCGUGUAUUAAUGAUCCGAAGGUAAAACACCAAUUCAGAAAUUUUCCACCCACUGCAAUUGCCAAUGGAGUAACUCAUGUCAUGCCUACUGAAGUGCACGAAGCAGGUUCUCAAUUUGGCAAUCAAGUGACGGCUCUUCUUCCGAUGAAUGAAGUCGAUAAUCAUGUCUCAAAUAAUCAAAAGAACGAGCUUGGUCAUAAGAUGGGAGUAAUGUAUGAGCCACGUACAUCUGUCCUUGAUUUGAUUGGUGAUGAUCCUUCUGACAGAAAUUUGGAAAUCAGUCCAGCAAAUGAAGAUCACGUCGCCUUUUCCGUAAAUGGCUUAGGUAGAGUGGGAACAGAAACACCAGUUCAUUCACCACAGCAAGUUGACAGAACAUUUUCCUAUGGUUGCACAUCACCCUUAAAACAUUCAGGCUGGUCAGACAUGUUGGAGAACCGAGAUCAUGCAUUGGAUGACCUUGAUUUUGAAGCAGUGAGAUUCUUGAAGUCCAUGAUGAAAUCUUUUAAUGUGCCUGAUCGUCGGCAUUCAUUGAGGAACUCAAUGGGUAUAGAGGAUUGGUAUGGCAAUCUGGAGGCAAACACCUGCGCCUGGGAUAACUCGAAUCAUCACUGGAGGGAUAGUAGCAUAAUGAAAUCAUCUGGUCACAAAGAUGUAUGGGAAGCGAGCUCUAGUUCUCUUAAUAACAACUAUUUUCUCGGGGGAGAUUACGGCAUCUCUUGGGAUAAACGUCCUUUUGAAGUGGAUGACCUAUGUGAUGAUUUCACCACAUAUGAGAAUCAUGAAUUGUCAGAGCAUAAUUUGGAUCAAGUCCGUUUGCUUAAGAAAAGGGUCAUUGCUGAAGCUGGAGUCAGAAGCGAAACUUUAGGUUAGGAUGCAGAUAUUGCUCUGACAUGAAACUUCUGAGAGAAGGCCAAGAUAGACAAGAUUACAUGCAACAAGUAUCUCUUUCUUUUGGUAUCCUGAUGUCUAUUGUUUUCAUGCGAGGAUCAGUGUCUCCCCUGUUAUUUGAACAGCGCGGUUCAGAAGAAGCAUAUUGGUGUAGCACCGUCUUGGAUGAUCCAAGAGAGAGUUCAAGCUUUCAAAGUUCCGGCAGCGAAGAGUCAUGCUCCUCCACUACAGGUUAUCGUUUCUUGUGAUCGCAAUUCUUUCUCCAGCCAAUUUCAGUUGUGAAACUUUUGUAUUGGUAAACAAAGCCAGCUUUGAAGAUGCCUGCUUUAGUACUUCAGAUUAAAAUUUUCGGUA